UGGGGCGAACGCAUGAUCGCUCCGGUCUUAGUACCGGGGAGGAAAGUCCGAACACCGCAGAGCACGGUGGUUCUUAACAGGAACGCCGGGAAACCGGGGGAAAGUGCCACAGAAAAUACACCGCCGAUGGGACAGGUAACUGUUCACAGGUAAGGUUGAAAUGGCGAGGUAAGAGCUUCACCGCUUUCAUGGUGACAUGAAAGGCAAGGCAAACCCCACCGGGUGCAAGACCAAAUAGGGAAACGUUUGAGGGCUGCUCGCCUGAAGUUUCCGGGUAGGUUGCACGAGGUGCUGGGCAACCGGCAUCCAAGUCAAAUGAUCAUGGCCUGCGGCAGUAAUGCAGGAACAGAAUUCGGCUUAUAGUCCGCCCCAAUUU
This 376-nucleotide RNase P RNA is filed under the name Candidatus Electronema aureum. RNAcentral describes it as "Bacterial RNase P class A". It matches the Rfam family "Bacterial RNase P class A". Rfam says of the family: Ribonuclease P (RNase P) is a ubiquitous endoribonuclease, found in archaea, bacteria and eukarya as well as chloroplasts and mitochondria. Its best characterised activity is the generation of mature 5'-ends of tRNAs by cleaving the 5'-leader elements of precursor-tRNAs. Cellular RNase Ps are ribonucleoproteins. The record is from Rfam by way of RNAcentral. Lineage: Bacteria; Pseudomonadati; Thermodesulfobacteriota; Desulfobulbia; Desulfobulbales; Desulfobulbaceae.